Molecule: ribosomal RNA, 454 nt
Filed under: uncultured bacterium
Lineage: Bacteria
Description: bacterial SSU rRNA
Rfam family: Bacterial small subunit ribosomal RNA
Source: RNAcentral
UACGGGAGGCAGCAGUGGGGAAUAUUGCACAAUGGGCGAAAGCCUGAUGCAGCUAUGCCGCGUGUAUGAAGAAGGCCUUAGGGUUGUAAAGUACUUUCAUCGGGGAGGAAAAACAAAACUAAUAAUUUUAUUUCUUGACGUUACCCGAAAAAGAAGCACCGGCUAACUCCGUGCCAGCAGCCGCGGUAAUACGGAGGGUGCUAGCGUUAAUCAGAAUUACUGGGCGUAAAGAGCACGUAGGUGGUUUUUUUAAGUCAGAUGUGAAAUCCCUGGGCUUAACCUGGAACUGCAUUUUGAAACUGAAAUACUAGAGUAUCGUAGAGGGAGGUAGAAUUCUAGGUGUAGCGGUGAAAUGCGUAGAUAUCUGGAGGAAUACCUGUGGCGAAAGCGGCCUCCUAAACGAAUACUGACACUGAGGGUGCGAAAGCGUGGGGAGCGAAACAGGGAUUAGGAU